This 125-nucleotide ribosomal RNA is filed under the name Photobacterium angustum. RNAcentral describes it as "partial 16S ribosomal RNA". It matches the Rfam family "Bacterial small subunit ribosomal RNA", at positions 1417 to 1533 of the family's 1533-position model. RNAcentral also lists the same sequence under 6 other names. The record is from RNAcentral. Lineage: Bacteria; Pseudomonadati; Pseudomonadota; Gammaproteobacteria; Vibrionales; Vibrionaceae.
GCACCAGAAGUAGAUAGCUUAACCUUCGGGAGGGCGUUUACCACGGUGUGGUUCAUGACUGGGGUGAAGUCGUAACAAGGUAGCCCUAGGGGAACCUGGGGCUGGAUCACCUCCUUACCUAAAGA